Molecule: ribosomal RNA, 438 nt
Filed under: uncultured bacterium
Lineage: Bacteria
Description: partial 16S ribosomal RNA
Rfam family: Bacterial small subunit ribosomal RNA
Source: RNAcentral
CUACGGGACGCACCAGUGAGGAAUAUUGCACAAUGGGGGGAACCCUGAUGCAGCAACGCCGCGUGGAGGAUGACGCAUUUCGGUGUGUAAACUCCUUUUAUAUGUCAAGAAAAUGACGGUAGCAUAUGAAUAAGCACCGGCUAACUCCGUGCCAGCAGCCGCGGUAAUACGGAGGGUGCAAGCGUUACUCGGAAUCACCGGGCGAAAGGACGCGUAGGCGGGUUGGAAAGUCAGGUGUGAAAUCCUACAGCUUAACUGUAGAACUGCACUUGAGACUUCUAAUCUAGAGUAUGGGAGGGGGAGAUGGGAUUAGUGGUGUAGGGGUAAAAUCCGUAGAUAUCACCAGGAAUACCUAAAGCGAAGGCGAUCUCCUGGAACAUUACUGACGCUAAGGCGUGAAAGCGUGGGGAGCAAACAGGAUUAGAUACCCCCGUAGUC